RNAcentral lists this ribosomal RNA (484 nucleotides) under uncultured bacterium. RNAcentral's name for it is "bacterial SSU rRNA". It matches the Rfam family "Bacterial small subunit ribosomal RNA", at positions 28 to 524 of the family's 1533-position model. The record is from RNAcentral.
GACGAACGCUAGCGGCGGGCUUAAUACAUGCAAGUUUAGGGGUUCAGCAAUGGACACCGGCGGACGGGUGCGUAACACGUAUGCAACCUGCCCUUUACUGGAGGAUACUCCGGAGAAAUUCGGCACAACACUCCAUAUACUCAUACUUUCGCAUGGGAGAAUGAGGAAAGGUUACGGUAAAGGAUGGGCAUGCGUCUGAUUAGCUAGUUGGCGAGGUAACGGCUCACCAAGGCGACGAUCAGUAGCUGGUCUGAGAGGAUGAUCAGCCACACUGGCACUGAGAUACGGGCCAGACUCCUACGGGAGGCAGCGGUAGGGAAUAUUGGUCAAUGGGCGAAAGCCUGAACCAGCCACGCCGCGUGCAGGAAGAAGGUCCUCUGGAUUGUAAACUGCUUUUGCCAAGGGAUAAAGAGAGGCUAUACGCCUAAAUGAAGGUACUUGGUGAAUAAGCCACGGCUAACUACGUGCCAGCAGCCGCGGUAAU